Molecule: long non-coding RNA, 2247 nt
Filed under: Numida meleagris (helmeted guineafowl)
Lineage: Eukaryota; Metazoa; Chordata; Aves; Galliformes; Numididae
Description: lncRNA (ENSNMEG00000022655.1)
Source: RNAcentral
AUGACCAGUGGUGCUGGUCUAACCAAGUGGGAAUGCAACAGGCAGCAAUCAAGGGUUUCAACAACUACCAGCCAAGAGCUAAGGAAGGGGAUGUAUCCUGUCUCUGAUGGUGACAAGUGUACUCUAGGACCAGCUAAUAACCUAGGUGCAGAAGCACCUGGUGAAGAGGAGAAGAGUGUAGCAGAGAAGCUGAGCAAAUGUUCUUCAUCUGUGUGGAGGAGCUUACUGGAGUCCUCAGCCCGGAACAUUUCUUUACGGGGGAUGAGUCAGAAAAUGUGUCUCAAAGUGAUGCUUCAGUAGAUGAAGUUAUAAAGCACCUCGACAAAACAAACGGUACCAGUUUAGCAGCAACGAGUGGUUUUCAGUCAAGAGCUCUGAAGGAAUUCAAGGAUGAAAUAGCUGAACUAUUAACUGCAUUAAGCCUACUGUGAAACCUCUUACUUAAAAUAUUCUCGCUAUAGGGGGCAAGAAAGCAGUGAGACCUUGCAUUUAAAAAAUGCUUUUGAGCAGAUCCAGGAAGAGUAGAUUAUUAAUACCGAUGCCUAAAUGAGGUGAAACUGUAGUAUGGAAGGGAAUUAGGGAGCGUGUUAGUGAGAUUUGAUUUAUGGGAAAAGUCAACUAGGCUUUUGUGAAUGGAAGGACUACCUGAAGGGUCAGCAAGGGAUCUUGUAUAAAAAUGCUGAGAAAAGCAUGGUGUGGUCUGCUCGAGUUUCUGAAAGAGUUUAACAAAUUCCUUGUUCAAAGGAUCUUAAAGAAACUUUACAGGAGCUCUGAGUUCCUAUGAGAAGGAAGGUGCUCCCAUAGGUAAGUCUAGGCCAAGGCUAGGAGUCAAAGGGAAGGAGACACUGGUCAGCCCUCGUGGUGAAGAGCCCCACAAGGCUUAACCUUGGUGAUGACUGUAAACUCCAGCUCCAGGCUGGACCCACAACUGAAACAUGAAUCAAGAUGAAAACAGAGUCCCACAUGGUGACUCCAGCCAGUUUGAGUUUCACUUGCAGGUGAAUCUGGGUGUUUUACAAGGUGGGGUUCUGUUCUGUUUGUUCCCAGUAUUCAAUUUUCUUAUUUUUUGACCACAGCAGAGAACUGAACUGACUCCAGCUCUUACUCCUGAGUGGUAUUUUUUCAGAGCUCAUUAUAGUGUAUCUGAUUUGUUCUCCCCAUGUGCGUCACUUUGCAUUUAUCUGUAUUGAAUUCUGUCUUCUAUUUUGUCACCCGCUCUCUCAAUAUUAUGAGAUCCUCUGGUUUAAUUUGAUGUCCCUUCUCCCUAUGCAGGGAGAGAAAUGGAAAAACUUGGCCCUAUGCAUCCUCUCAGGGUUCUCGUGAGUUUGUCUUCUUUCACAUGUCCAUUAAGACAAUCCCUUCUCUAUGCUGAAGGGUCCUGUCCUACAGUUUUCCUCAUACAAAAGCCAUUCCAGACCUUCCAUCACCCUCUUGUCCCCCCCUUGUACCCAAGUAUAUGAGAUGAGGGGUCUGAAGCCACAGUAUGACUGAACCAAUGAUUUAUACAGCACUGGAACUGUGUUUUCCAUUGAUCAGGUAAUUUACCAUUCUCUACGAGCUCUUCACUGAGGCUGCACACCAUGUGUUACCGACACAGAUGGCCCAUUUGACAGUUUAGAUACGGUCUUACAAAUGGCCUUCCUCCACCUUUGCUUAGUUCUGGAGUCCUCUUGUCAUAAUGAGUCACUGGAGUGCUCCUCUCCCAGAUCUGCUUGGUGAUUGCCUCCCUGUGAUUUACAGGUCAACCUCAGCUGUUCCUACCUGACAUCCAAAGAGCUAUGCCCCAUCUCCCUCCCCUUGCACUCGUAAUUUCAUAACAUUUGCCUUCCAUUCCUCUUCCAAAACCACUUUGCAGGAUUGUCUGCUCUGUUGCUUUGCUCCUGCUUGGGAAGUAGGCUGAUUUCAUUAGUAAUUUGGCCAACUUCUACGGAGCAAGCAUGAUGUACUAAAUCAUGGUCAUGGUUGCACUAGAAAAGAACGAUGCCUGCAUGUUCUGACUCAGGCUGUCUUUCAUUGGACCCAAUGAUGCUGUAGGUUGAGCUGCUUUAUUUGAUUCCUGAUGGGUUAGCUCCUUUAUAACACCUUAGUGGUCAUUUGCUGCAGGACAUGGGUUCUCAAUGGAGGUCAGAGGAGAUUACUGCUGAGCACAUUGCUCUGAACAGAAGCAGGGCUAUGUGUGCAGACUCGAAAGAGGAGCACUGGUGAUGCAAUUAGGAAUAAAGCUCAAAUAGGUAUUAUUGUGAGACA